AUACUUACCUAGCAGAGGAAACAUUAUGAUCAAGAAGGUGGUUUUCUCAGGGUGAGAUUUAUCCAUUGCACUGUGGGUGUGUUGACCCUUGUGAUUUCCCCAAAUGUGGUAAACUCAACUGCAUAGUUUAUGUUAGUGGGGGAUUGCAUUUGUGCUUUCUCCUG
RNAcentral lists this small nuclear RNA (164 nucleotides) under Pelusios castaneus (West African mud turtle). Its description in RNAcentral is "U1 spliceosomal RNA (ENSPCEG00000010113.1)". It matches the Rfam family "U1 spliceosomal RNA". Rfam says of the family: U1 is a small nuclear RNA (snRNA) component of the spliceosome (involved in pre-mRNA splicing). Its 5' end forms complementary base pairs with the 5' splice junction, thus defining the 5' donor site of an intron. There are significant differences in sequence and secondary structure between metazoan and yeast U1 snRNAs, the latter being much longer (568 nucleotides as compared to 164 nucleotides in human). The record is from Rfam by way of RNAcentral. Lineage: Eukaryota; Metazoa; Chordata; Testudines; Pelomedusidae.